AGUCGAGCGGACCUCUUCGGAGGUCAGCGGCGGACGGGUGAGUAACACGUGGGCAACCUGCCUGUAAGACUGGGAUAACUCCGGGAAACCGGAGCUAAUACCGGAUACUAUGUCAAACCGCAUGGUUUGACAUUCAAAGACGGUUUCGGCUGUCACUUACAGAUGGGCCCGCGGCGCAUUAGCUAGUUGGUGAGGUAAUGGCUCACCAAGGCGACGAUGCGUAGCCGACCUGAGAGGGUGAUCGGCCACACUGGGACUGAGACACGGCCCAGACUCCUACGGGAGGCAGCAGUAGGGAAUCUUCCGCAAUGGACGAAAGUCUGACGGAGCAACGCCGCGUGAGUGAUGAAGGUUUUCGGAUCGUAAAACUCUGUUGUCAGGGAAGAACAAGUGCCGGAGUAACUGCCGGCGCCUUGACGGUACCUGACCAGAAAGCCACGGCUAACUACGUGCCAGCAGCCGCGGUAAUACGUAGGUGGCAAGCGUUGUCCGGAAUUAUUGGGCGUAAAGCGCGCGCAGGCGGUUUCUUAAGUCUGAUGUGAAAGCCCCCGGCUCAACCGGGGAGGGUCAUUGGAAACUGGGAAACUUGAGUGCAGAAGAGGAGAGUGGAAUUCCACGUGUAGCGGUGAAAUGCGUAGAGAUGUGGAGGAACACCAGUGGCGAAGGCGACUCUCUGGUCUGUAACUGACGCUGAGGCGCGAAAGCGUGGGGAGCGAACAGGAUUAGAUACCCUGGUAGUCCACGCCGUAAACGAUGAGUGCUAAGUGUUAGAGGGUUUCCGCCCUUUAGUGCUGCAGCUAACGCAUUAAGCACUCCGCCUGGGGAGUACGGUCGCAAGACUGAAACUCAAAGGAAUUGACGGGGGCCCGCACAAGCGGUGGAGCAUGUGGUUUAAUUCGAAGCA
This 904-nucleotide ribosomal RNA is filed under the name Metabacillus indicus. RNAcentral's name for it is "bacterial SSU rRNA". It matches the Rfam family "Bacterial small subunit ribosomal RNA", at positions 60 to 958 of the family's 1533-position model. The record is from RNAcentral. Lineage: Bacteria; Bacillati; Bacillota; Bacilli; Caryophanales; Bacillaceae.